UAAACCGCUUUCGCCUGUGACGAAGCGUGAGUGACGGUAAUGGGUAAAGAAGCACCGGGCUAACUACGUGCCAGCAGCCGCGGUGAUACGUAGGGUGCGAGCGUUGUCCGGAUUUAUUGGGCGUAAAGGGCUCGUAGGUGGUUGAUCGCGUCGGAAGUGUAAUCUUGGGGCUUAACCCUGAGCGUGCUUUCGAUACGGGUUGACUUGAGGAAGGUAGGGGAGAAUGGAAUUCCUGGUGGAGCGGUGGAAUGCGCAGAUAUCAGGAGGAACACCAGUGGCGAAGGCGGUUCUCUGGGCCUUUCCUGACGCUGAGGAGCGAAAGCGUGGGGAGCGAACAGGCUUAGAUACCCUGGUAGUCCACGCUGUAAACGGUGGGUACUAGGUGUGGGGUCCAUUCCACGGGUUCCGUGCCGUAGCUAACGCUUUAAGUACCCCGCCUGGGGAGUACGGCCGCAAGGCUAAAACUCAAAGGAAUUGACGGGGCCCCGCACAAGCGGCGGAGCAUGCGGAUUAAUUCGAUGCAACGCGUAGAACCUUACCUGGGUUUGACAUGGAUCGGGAGUGCUCAGAGAUGGGUGUGCCUCUUUUGGGGUCGGUUCACAGGUGGUGCAUGGCUGUCGUCAGCUCGUGUCGUGAGAUGUUGGGUUAAGUCCCGCAACGAGCGCAACCCUUGUUCACUGUUGCCAGCACGUUAUGGUGGGGACUCAGUGGAGACCGCCGGGGUCAACUCGGAGGAAGGUGGGGAUGACGUCAAGUCAUCAUGCCCCUUAUGUCCAGGGCUUCACGCAUGCUACAAUGGCUGGUACAGAGAGUGGCGAGCCUGUGAGGGUGAGCGAAUCUCGGAAAGCCGGUCUCAGUUCGGAUUGGGGUCUGCAACUCGACCUCAUGAAGUCGGAGUCGCUAGUAAUCGCAGAUCAGCAACGCUGCGGUGAAUACGUUCCCGGGGCUUGUACACACCGCCCGU
This 964-nucleotide ribosomal RNA is filed under the name uncultured bacterium. RNAcentral describes it as "bacterial SSU rRNA". It matches the Rfam family "Bacterial small subunit ribosomal RNA", at positions 426 to 1397 of the family's 1533-position model. The record is from RNAcentral.